GGGAGUGUAGCUAAGUGAUAGAGUGCUUGCCUAGCAUGCAUGAAGCCCUGGGUUCGAUUCCUCAGUACCA
Molecule: transfer RNA, 70 nt
Filed under: Dipodomys ordii (Ord's kangaroo rat)
Lineage: Eukaryota; Metazoa; Chordata; Mammalia; Rodentia; Heteromyidae
Rfam family: tRNA
About the family: Transfer RNA (tRNA) molecules are approximately 80 nucleotides in length.
Source: Rfam by way of RNAcentral